Molecule: ribosomal RNA, 482 nt
Filed under: uncultured bacterium
Lineage: Bacteria
Description: partial 16S ribosomal RNA
Rfam family: Bacterial small subunit ribosomal RNA
Source: RNAcentral
AUUGAACGCUGGCGGCAGGCCUAACACAUGCAAGUCGAGCGGAUGAAGGGAGCUUGCUCCUGGAUUCAGCGGCGGACGGGUGAGUAAUGCCUAGGAAUCUGCCUGGUAGUGGGGGAUAACGUCCGGAAACGGGCGCUAAUACCGCAUACGUCCUGAGGGAGAAAGUGGGGGAUCUUCGGACCUCGCUAUCAGAUGAGCCUAGGUCGGAUUAGCUAGUUGGUGGGGUAAAGGCCUACCAAGGCGACGAUCCGUAACUGGUCUGAGAGGAUGAUCAGUCACACUGGAACUGAGACACGGUCCAGACUCCUACGGGAGGCAGCAGUGGGGAAUAUUGGACAAUGGGCGAAAGCCUGAUCCAGCCAUGCCGCGUGUGUGAAGAAGGUCUUCGGAUUGUAAAGCACUUUAAGUUGGGAGGAAGGGCAGUAAGUUAAUACCUUGCUGUUUUGACGUUACCAACAGAAUAAGCACCGGCUAACUUCGUG